CUUGGUCAUUUAGAGGAAGUAAAAGUCGCAACAAGGUCUCCGUUGGUGAACCAGCGGAGGGAUCAUUACAGAGUUAUCUAACUCCCAAACCCAUGUGAACUUACCACUGUUGCCUCGGCAGAUGUUGCUGGGCGAACCUACCCUGUAGCGAGCUACUCUGUAGCGACCUACCCGGGAACGGCUUACCCUGUAGCGCCUGCCGGUGGACUACUAAACUCUUGUUAUUUUUAAGUAAUCUGAGCGUCUUAUUUUAAUAAGUCAAAACUUUCAACAACGGAUCUCUUGGUUCUGGCAUCGAUGAAGAACGCAGCGAAAUGCGAUAAGUAAUGUGAAUUGCAGAAUUCAGUGAAUCAUCGAAUCUUUGAACGCACAUUGCGCCCAUUAGUAUUCUAGUGGGCAUGCCUGUUCGAGCGUCAUUUCAACCCUUAAGCCUAGCUUAGUAUUGGGAACUGGCUUUACUGCCAUUCCUCAAAUUCAACGGCGGAUUUAUAGCAAUCUCUGAACGUAGUAAUUUUUUUCUCGUUUUUGAAAUACUGUAAACCUCAGCCGCUAAACCCCCCAAUUUUUAAUGGUUGACCUCGGAUCAGGUAGGAAUACCCGCUGAACUUAAGCAUAUCAAUAAGCGGAGGA
RNAcentral lists this ribosomal RNA (630 nucleotides) under uncultured Truncatella. Its description in RNAcentral is "partial 18S ribosomal RNA". The stretch from base 263 to 416 matches the Rfam family "5.8S ribosomal RNA". The record is from RNAcentral. Lineage: Eukaryota; Fungi; Ascomycota; Sordariomycetes; Amphisphaeriales; Amphisphaeriaceae.